Molecule: long non-coding RNA, 342 nt
Filed under: Elaeis guineensis (African oil palm)
Lineage: Eukaryota; Viridiplantae; Streptophyta; Magnoliopsida; Arecales; Arecaceae
Description: long non-coding RNA (EGUI_LNC024300)
Source: RNAcentral
AUGUGCUAGAGGAGAGAUUUUUCAAGGAGUGGUGUUCAAGGUGGAUUUUAAAGAAGCGACUAUACAACCUUCGGAUGCUAGAGGAUGGAAAAGUAGUCGGGGUGCAUUUAGCGGUUCAACCAGAGCAUGGAUUUGUGGAGCCUUGGAAUGAUGGAGAUGGAUGAUCCACAUAGUAUCACAGCUGGUUCAGAGGAGGAGAAGGUCCUCUGGUGGUUUCAUAGGGGCUCGCGGAAUGUGGAAGGUCUAAAACGACAGCAGCGACGAUGAAGUUUAGUAGGAGGUCCAGCAGACCAGCAUUGGACAGCUGAUCUCAAAUCAAGUUUUGUCUUCUGCAGAGGCACC